UCCGGUUUGACACCGGCAGUCUCCUUAGAGUUCCCGGCAUAACCCGCUGGUAACUAAGGACAAGGGUUUCGCUCGUUUAAGGACUUAACCAAACAUCUCACAACACGAGCUGACGACAGCCAUGCAGCACCUGUUCACGUUCCGGUCUUGCGACUGUCAUUGACGUUUCCGCCAACUAAUCCGUGCAUGUCAAGCCUAGGAUAAGGUUCUUCGCGUAGCCUCGAAUUAAGCCACAUGCUCCACCGCUGGUGUGAGCCCCCGUCAAUUCCUUUGAGUUUCAGCCUUGCGACCAUACUCCCCAGGCGGGGUACUAAACACUUUCGCUUCGGCAGAAGGCGACAUCGGAUCGCUUUCUACCCAGUACCCAUCGUUUACGGCUAGGACUAC
RNAcentral lists this unclassified non-coding RNA (387 nucleotides) under uncultured Planctomycetia bacterium. RNAcentral's name for it is "contains 16S-23S intergenic spacer region". The record is from RNAcentral. Lineage: Bacteria; Pseudomonadati; Planctomycetota; Planctomycetia.